UACAGAGGGUGCAAACGUUGCUCGGAAUUAUUGGGCGUAAAGCGUACGUAGGCGGCUUAUCAAGUCGGAUGUGAAAGCCCGCGGCUUAACCGCGGAAGUGCAUACGAAACUGAUGAGCUUGAAUAUGGAAGAGGGUCGCGGAAUUCCCGGUGUAGAGGUGAAAUUCGUAGAGAUCGGGAGGAACACCAGUGGCGAAGGCGGCGACCUGGGCCAAUAUUGACGCUAAGGUACGAAAGCGUGGGGAGCAAACAGG
Molecule: ribosomal RNA, 253 nt
Filed under: uncultured bacterium
Lineage: Bacteria
Description: partial 16S ribosomal RNA
Rfam family: Bacterial small subunit ribosomal RNA
Source: RNAcentral